CCUACGUGUGGCUGCAGUGGGGAAUAUUGGACAAUGGGCGAAAGCCUGAUCCAGCCAUGCCGCGUGUGUGAAGAAGGCCUUCGGGUUGUAAAGCACUUUCAGUGGGGAAGAAAGCCUUGGGGCUAAUACCCUCGAGGAAGGACAUCACCCACAGAAGAAGCACCGGCUAACUCCGUGCCAGCAGCCGCGGUAAUACGGAGGGUGCGAGCGUUAAUCGGAAUUACUGGGCGUAAAGCGCGCGUAGGCGGUCUGAUAAGCCGGUUGUGAAAGCCCCGGGCUCAACCUGGGAACGGCAUCCGGAACUGUCAGGCUAGAGUGCAGGAGAGGAAGGUAGAAGUCCCGGUGUAGCGGUGAAAUGCGUAGAGAUCGGGAGGAAUACCAGUGGCGAAGGCGGCCUUCUGGACUGACACUGACGCUGAGGUGCGAAAGCGUGGGUAGCAAACAGGAUUAGAUACCCUAGUAGUC
Molecule: ribosomal RNA, 465 nt
Filed under: Vreelandella stevensii
Lineage: Bacteria; Pseudomonadati; Pseudomonadota; Gammaproteobacteria; Oceanospirillales; Halomonadaceae
Description: partial 16S ribosomal RNA
Rfam family: Bacterial small subunit ribosomal RNA
Source: RNAcentral